RNAcentral lists this small RNA (4440 nucleotides) under Pan troglodytes (chimpanzee). RNAcentral's name for it is "retained intron". Lineage: Eukaryota; Metazoa; Chordata; Mammalia; Primates; Hominidae. The record is from RNAcentral.
AUCCUUCGAGGAGGGGGCCGGCAGGUGUGGUUGCAAGCUGGACUAGCAGCCCAGCGGGGCGAGACGGGGGAGUAGGAAUUGCGGGGGCCUGGUAUUUCCCCAGAGCCUCCUCCCAGGCCAGGGAGAUGCCACAGUGCCCGACUUUGGAAAGCCGGGAAGGGGCAAACUCCGAAGAGAAGGGGGACAGUUCCAAAGACGAUCCAAAAGAAACCGUCGCGCUGGCUUUUGUGAGAGAGAACCCAGGGGCACAAAACGGACUUCAGAAUGCCCAGCAGCAAGGCAAGAAGAAGAGGAAGAAAAAGAGGUUAGGAUUGAAAGCUGGGGAAUGGGGAGCCAUGUUGGUGAGAACAGGAAGGACUUGGAGGGAAGGGGGUCUUGGCUGAUGAUGAGAGAGUAAAGGAGAAACUGUGUGCUGAGACUGUCAACAUCUCACCACUUUUGGUUCAUAUAAAAAGAAUCUACUUUCGAUGAUCUGUUUUAUAGAAUCAAAUGAUUGUGUGUGUAAUCUAAAAAACCAUGCCUUGUCCUAAUUUUCAUUCUAUUUGUGUUUAGGAUGCCUUUAAAAAAUAGCAGGAAAAGAAGAUUUCCUUGUUUUAAGAAGGCGCUGAUUUGUCCUGGAAAUUUAGUACGCCUUCAGUAUGAUAGCACCAUACUGACUUAUCAGGAUCCAACUGCAGCUUGUGCAUUCCGGUUCUUGUUUAAUAUUUCACCAUGCCUUGCUCCAUUCAGACUGAUUGAUGAAGGAAAGCUUGUCCACUUUCUUAUUCAUAGCUUCCCUUAAUGGGGGGAAGAGGAAGGAGACAAGUAUUUUGGCCAAAAAUAUUUUCAAUUCCUGUCCCUGAUGAGCCAGUGGAGUAAAAGGCUUGAGGCAAUGAUGUUAGUGAGAAGCUGCAAGCAAGAUCAGCUGUAAUUGCAAUACAGAAUUUCUACCUUCUGGGUAGAGUAAUAGUACCCUGAUGCCAUGUUUUCCACCAUGCUGUACCCCCUUGGACUCGUGUCCUCAGCAACAGGGACGGUCAAACCAGGCUUAGCAUGGCAGGCUAGAUUUCAGACAGCUCCACCUGGGACAGGAUGUUUCUGGGUACAGUCACUUGUUCUGGCAAGUGUGUCUCUGUCUUGCUGCUUUCCUUUUUCUCUUUUCCAGAUGAUUGGUGAUCAAUCUAUCCAGCUGCCGGUAUGAGAGUGUGCGCAGGGCUGCCCAACAGUACGGCUUUAGAGAGGGAGGGGAAGAUGAUGGCUGGACUCUCUAUUGGACAGAUUACUCAGUGUCACUGGAGCGGGUGAUGGAAAUGAAAAGUUACCAGAAGAUCAAUCACUUCCCCGGGAUGAGUGAAAUCUGCCGGAAGGACUUGCUGGCCAGGAACAUGAGCCGCAUGUUAAAGAUGUUCCCUAAAGAUUUCCGCUUUUUCCCUAGGACCUGGUGUCUUCCUGCUGAGUGUCACAGACGAAACACUGAAGCCCAGCAUGGGGUGAGAGACUGACGGAUCCAAAAUCACAUCACUUGUCAGGGCUUGAGCCAGGUCCAGAACUCCAAAGCUCCUACCUGCAAACCCAGAAAACCAAACUACCUGUGCCAUGGUCACCUUGAUGGGACAUGCAGCACUGUGCCUGCAUUAUGUCAUGCAACUAGGCACCACAGGAGCUGGGGAGAUUUGCAGACCUACAGCAGGUCAAGAAAAAAUAAGACAUACAUUUGUAAGCCGGAUUCGUGCUGCCAAGGGAAAGGUAUAUUCAUCACCCGGACAGUGAAAGAAAUCAAACCAGGGGAGGAUAUGAUCUGUCAGCUGUAUAUUUCAAAGCCCUUUAUCAUUGAUGGGUUUAAGUUUGACCUACGGAUUUAUGUACUGGUGACAUCCUGUGACCCUCUCAGGAUUUUUGUGUACAAUGAAGGACUGGCACGCUUUGCGACAACCUCUUACUCCCGCCCUUGCACAGACAACCUGGAUGAUAUCUGCAUGCACCUGACUAAUUAUUCCAUUAAUAAGCACAGUUCAAAUUUCAGUCGAGACGCACACUCUGGCAGUAAGAGGAAGCUCUCCACCUUCAGUGCAUACAUGGAGGACCACAGCUACAACGUGGAGCAGAUAUGGAGGGAUAUUGAGGACAUCAUCAUCAAGACCCUCAUCUCGGCCCACCCCAUCAUCAGGCAUAACUACCACACCUGCUUCCCCAACCACACACUCAACAGCGCCUGCUUUGAGAUCCUGGGCUUUGACAUUUUGUUGGACCACAAACUCAAACCCUGGCUGCUGGAGGUCAACCACUCUCCAAGCUUCUCCACCGACUCUCGGUUGGAUAAAGAGGUGAAAGAUGGUCUGCUGUAUGACACCUUAGUCCUGAUCAACCUGGAAAGCUGUGACAAGAAGAAAGUCUUGGAGGAGGAGAGACAACGGGGGCAGUUCCUGCAGCAGUGUUGUUCUGGGGAGAUGAGGAUUGAGGAAGCCAAGGGUUUCCGGGCCGUGCAGUUAAAGAAAACUGAAACGUAUGAGAAGGAAAACUGUGGAGGGUUCCGACUGAUUUAUCCCAGUCUGAAUUCGGAGAAGUAUGAGAAGUUUUUCCAGGACAACAACUCCCUCUUCCAGAAUACUGUUGCUUCCAGGGCUCGGGAGGAGUAUGCCCGGCAACUGAUCCAGGAGCUGAGACUAAAACGGGAGAAAAAGCCCUUCCAAAUGAAGAAGAAGGUAGAGAUGCAGGGGGAAUCGGCAGGCGAGCAAGUGAGAAAGAAGGGCAUGAGGGGCUGGCAACAGAAACAACAGCAGAAAGACAAGGCCGCCACCCAAGCCUCCAAACAGUACAUCCAGCCAUUGACAUUAGUAUCCUACACACCUGACUUGCUCUUGAGUGUCAGAGAUGAAAGGAAAAAUGAAACAGACAGCAGCCUCAACCAGGAGGCUCCCACGAAGGAGGCCAGCUCUGUUUUCCCCAAGCUGACGUCUGCGAAGCCCUUCAGUUCUGUACCCGAUCUGAGGAAUAUCAAUCUCAGCAGCUCGGAGUUGGAGCCUGGUAAACCCAACUUCAGCAUCAAGGAGGCCAAGUCUGCCUCUGCAGUGAACGUAUUCACUGGCACUGUGCACUUAACCUCCAUAGAAACCACCCCAGAAUCCACCACCCAACUCUCAAUCUCCCCAAAGUCUCCGCUAACCCUGGCUGUGACCGCCAGCUCUGAGUACAGUGGCCCAGAGACGGACAGGGUGGUAUCCUUUAAAUGCAAGAAGCAGCAGACCCCUCCACACUUAACCCAGAAGAAAAUGUUAAAAUCUUUUCUGCCCACAAAAUCCAAGAGCUUCUGGGAGAGUCCGAACACAAACUGGACUUUGCUAAAGCGUGACAUGAACAAGCCACAUUUGAUAUCUGAGCUACUCACCAAGCUUCAACUGAGUGGGAAGCUCUCCUUCUUCCCAGCUCACUACAACCCCAAGCUGGGGAUGAAUAACCUGUCACAAAACCCCUCCCUGCCUGGGGAGUGCCACUCCCGCAGUGACAGCUCUGGCGAGAAGAGGCAGCUGGAUGUGUCCUCCCUCCUCUUGCAGAGUCCUCAGAGCUAUAAUGUUACUCUGAGGGACCUGCUGGUGAUUGCCACUCCAGCCCGACUGGAUCCAAGGCCUUGUAGAAGCCACACAAGUGCUAUGAGGGACCCAUGUAUGCAGGAUCAAGAAGCAUACAGCCAUUGCCUGAUCUCUGGCCAAAAAGGAUGUGAGAGGAGCUAGAAUCAGACUGGAUCUCUGCCACUUUUCCCUUCCUACCUCUUAACUUGCAGGAAACAAUGUGUCUCUUCCGACAGUGUCUCCAAUGUUCACAGAAUCAACUGAAGUUUUGUUUGCUCAUCUAGAUAUACUGGUCUUCCAUUAGUUCCUAGUAGCAGCAAUGGGGCCAACAGCCCUGCCUCUGUUCCCUCCCAGUUAGCUUACAGUGCUACAGGACCAUGAUUUCUGGGAUUGGAUUGGUGCUGCCCCAGGACACACUCCAGUUGCCCUACCAGUGGCACUUCUCUGGGUUCUUCACAUGGCACCAUCAUCCAGAAUACUCCCCCAGAUAAAGCAACUUCGGGAGUAGUGUUUCAGAGAAGGACUCAUGAUUUCCAGGAGUCAAAAGCCCUCAGUCCACCAACAGAACUAUGCCAGUUGGUCUUCAUCUCCAAGAUAAAAGAUGAGGUCAGGGAUGGGCAUGGUGCAUAACUCUGAGCCCUGAGUGAGAGAACUGAGGCAGCUGCAACUUCACAGGGUCAAGGCCCGACCUCCGCCCAUCCCCACCAGCCCAAAGACUUGCCACCUCAGUGCCCGAGCAUCCUCUGGUGACCUCCCUCACCAGCCCAACUUAAUCUCACCAGUGAAAACAGAGGUGAGGCGAGAGUACCCAGCCUGAAGAUGCUUCUUCUAUCAACCUGCAGAAAUGUUACACUUUCCCUUCAGGCAUCCAUUAAUAAAAGAAAUUGCCAUGCUU